UAGAGUUUGAUCCUGGCUCAGGAUGAACGCUAGCGGCAGGCUUAAUACAUGCAAGUCGAGGGGCAGCAUGGUGUAGCAAUACACUGAUGGCGACCGGCAAACGGGUGCGGAACACGUACGCAACUUACCCAAAACUGGGGAAUAGCCCGGGGAAACCCGGAUUAAUACCUCGUAACAUAAUGAGAAGGCAUCUUCUUAUUAUUAUAGCUCCGGCGGUUUUGGAUGGGCGUGCGCCUGAUUAGGUAGUUGGGGGGGUAACGGCCCACCAAGCCUGCGAUCAGUAACUGGUGUGAGAGCACGACCAGUCACACGGGCACUGAGACACGGGCCCGACUCCUACGGGAGGCAGCAGUAAGGAAUAUUGGUCAAUGGACGCAAGUCUGAACCAGCCAUGCCGCGUGAAGGAUGAAGGUCCUCUGGAUUGUAAACUUCUUUUAUAUGGGACGAAACCCGGGAAUUCCUUCCCGAUUGACGGUACCAUAGGAAUAAGCACCGGCUAACUCCGUGCCAGCAGCCGCGGUAAUACGGAGGGUGCAAGCGUUAUCCGGAUACACUGGGUUUAAAGGGUGCGUA
This 573-nucleotide ribosomal RNA is filed under the name uncultured soil bacterium. Its description in RNAcentral is "bacterial SSU rRNA". It matches the Rfam family "Bacterial small subunit ribosomal RNA", at positions 1 to 573 of the family's 1533-position model. The record is from RNAcentral.